This 429-nucleotide ribosomal RNA is filed under the name uncultured bacterium. RNAcentral's name for it is "bacterial SSU rRNA". It matches the Rfam family "Bacterial small subunit ribosomal RNA", at positions 355 to 799 of the family's 1533-position model. The record is from RNAcentral.
UCAAGAAACUUCCACAAUGGGCGAAAGCCUGAUGGAGCGACGUCGCGUGAUGGACGAAGUGCUUCGGCACGUAAACAUCUUUUUAUGUGGGAUGAAAUUAUUGACAGUACCACAUGAAUAAGGGGCUCCUAACUCUGUGCCAGCAGGAGCGGUAAUACAGAGGCCCCAAGCGUUAUCCGGAAUCACUGGGCGUAAAGGGUGUCGAGGCGGUUGUAUUAGUCGUUCGUAAAAUCUACGAGCUUAACUUGUAGGCGGCGAACGAAACGGUACGACUUGAGGUUUGGAGAGGUGCGUGGAACUCACGGUGUAGGGGUGAAAUCCGUUGAUAUCGUGGGGAACACCAAAGGCGAAGGCAGCGCACUGGCCAAAAUCUGACGCUCACACACGAAAGCUAGGGUAGCGAAGAGGAUUAGAUACCCUCGUAGUCAG